Molecule: ribosomal RNA, 253 nt
Filed under: uncultured bacterium
Lineage: Bacteria
Description: partial 16S ribosomal RNA
Rfam family: Bacterial small subunit ribosomal RNA
Source: RNAcentral
UACGGGGGGGGUAAGCGUUGUUCGGAAUUACUGGGCGUAAAGGGCUCGUAGGCGGCCAACUAAGUCAUACGUGAAAUCCCUCAGCUUAACUGGGGAACUGCGUGUGAUACUGGAUGGCUUGGAUUUGGGAGAGGGAUGCGGAAUUCCGGGUGUAGCGGUGGAAUGCGUAGAGAUCCGGAAGAACACCGGUGGCGAAGGCGGUCUGCUGGGCAGUAGCUGACACUGAGGCGCGACAGCGUGGGGAGCAAACAGG